Molecule: long non-coding RNA, 332 nt
Filed under: Panax ginseng (ginseng)
Lineage: Eukaryota; Viridiplantae; Streptophyta; Magnoliopsida; Apiales; Araliaceae
Description: long non-coding RNA (PGIN_LNC000848)
Source: RNAcentral
UUAAUUUGCCAACGGGGUUUGGCUACACCUAAAUAAUUCGAUUGAAUUGAAUUAUUGAUAUGAGUCUAUGCUAUUCGAUUCAGCUAGACUAAUGUUUAUGAAAACUCUAAGUGUUCAUUGAAAGAAAUUUCCCGAACCAAAUUGUUUUGGUGCGGAAUCCUAUGAUAAGACUGAGGUGAACGAUGUUGUUUGGAUAAAAUAAUCCAAUCUAAUAGCGUAAAUAUUCGCUAGGCAUGAUUAAUACGUUAUGCAUGACGUAGGGGUACAAUAGGCUAAUCACCUAAAGUACUAUUAAUGGUAGUUUACCUUCUUUGUGAUUGUAAACAUACCAG